This 75-nucleotide transfer RNA is filed under the name bacterium. RNAcentral's name for it is "tRNA-Gly". It matches the Rfam family "tRNA". From Rfam's summary of the family: Transfer RNA (tRNA) molecules are approximately 80 nucleotides in length. Their secondary structure includes four short double-helical elements and three loops (D, anti-codon, and T loops). RNAcentral also lists the same sequence under 1 other name. The record is from RNAcentral.
GCGGGAGUAGCUCAGUGGUAGAGCACCACCUUGCCAAGGUGGCUGUCGCGGGUUCGAGUCCCGUCUCCCGCUCCA